CUACGUGCCAGCAGCCGCGGUAAUACGUAGGUGGCAAGCGUUGUCCGGAAUUAUUGGGCGUAAAGCGCGCGCAGGCGGAUUGGUCAGUCUGUCUUAAAAGUUCGGGGCUUAACCCCGUGAUGGGAUGGAAACUGCCGAUCUAGAGUAUCGGAGAGGAAAGUGGAAUUCCUAGUGUAGCGGUGAAAUGCGUAGAUAUUAGGAAGAACACCAGUGGCGAAGGCGACUUUCUGGACGAAAACUGACGCUGAGGCGCGAAAGCCAGGGGAGCGAACGGGAUUAGAUACCCCGGUAGUCCUGGCCGUAAACGAUGGGUACUAGGUGUAGGAGGUAUCGACCCCUUCUGUGCCGGAGUUAACGCAAUAAGUACCCCGCCUGGGGAGUACGACCGCAAGGUUGAAACUCAAAGGAAUUGACGGGGGCCCGCACAAGCGGUGGAGUAUGUGGUUUAAUUCGACGCAACGCGAAGAACCUUACCAGGUCUUGACAUUGAUGGACAGAACUAGAGAUAG
Molecule: ribosomal RNA, 509 nt
Filed under: uncultured bacterium
Lineage: Bacteria
Description: bacterial SSU rRNA
Rfam family: Bacterial small subunit ribosomal RNA
Source: RNAcentral